UACGGAGGGGGUUAGCGUUGUUCGGAAUUACUGGGCGUAAAGCGCACGUAGGCGGAUCAGAAAGUUGGGGGUGAAAUCCCGGGGCUCAACCCCGGAACUGCCUCCAAAACUCCUGGUCUUGAGUUCGAGAGAGGUGAGUGGAAUUCCGAGUGUAGAGGUGAAAUUCGUAGAUAUUCGGAGGAACACCAGUGGCGAAGGCGCACUCAGUGCUCGAUACUGACGCUGAGGUGCGAAAGUGUGGGGAGCAAACAGGAUUAGAUACCCGGAGUCA
Molecule: ribosomal RNA, 271 nt
Filed under: uncultured bacterium
Lineage: Bacteria
Description: partial 16S ribosomal RNA
Rfam family: Bacterial small subunit ribosomal RNA
Source: RNAcentral